CCUGCACGAAUGGCGUAAUGAUGGCCAGGCUGUCUCCACCCGAGACUCAGUGAAAUUGAACUCGCUGUGAAGAUGCAGUGUACCCGCGGCAAGACGGAAAGACCCCGUGAACCUUUACUAUAGCUUGACACUGAACAUUGAGCCUUGAUGUGUAGGAUAGGUGGGAGGCUUUGAAGUGUGGACGCCAGUCUGCAUGGAGCCGGCCUUGAAAUACCACCCUUUAAUGUUUGAUGUUCUAACGUGGACCCGUGAUCCGGGUUGCGGACAGUGUCUGGUGGGUAGUUUGACUGGGGCGGUCUCCUCCUAAAGAGUAACGGAGGAGCACGAAGGUUGGCUAAUCCUGGUCGGACAUCAGGAGGUUAGUGCAAUGGCAUAAGCCAGCUUGACUGCGAGCGUGACGGCGCGAGCAGGUGCGAAAGCAGGUCAUAGUGAUCCGGUGGUUCUGAAUGGAAGGGCCAUCGCUCAACGGAUAAAAGGUACUCCGGGGAUAACAGGCUGAUACCGCCCAAGAGUUCAUAUCGACGGCGGUGUUUGGCACCUCGAUGUCGGCUCAUCACAUCCUGGGGCUGAAGUAGGUCCCAAGGGUAUGGCUGUUCGCCAUUUAAAGUGGUACGCGAGCUGGGUUUAGAACGUCGUGAGACAGUUCGGUCCCUAUCUGCCGUGGGCGCUGGAGAACUGAGGGGGGCUGCUCCUAGUACGAGAGGACCGGAGUGGACGCAUCACUGGUGUUCGGGUUGUCAUGCCAAUGGCACUGCCCGGUAGCUAAAUGCGGAAGAGAUAAGUGCUGAAAGCAUCUAAGCACGAAACUUGCCCCGA
This 816-nucleotide ribosomal RNA is filed under the name Salmonella enterica. RNAcentral describes it as "partial 23S ribosomal RNA". It matches the Rfam family "Bacterial large subunit ribosomal RNA", at positions 1987 to 2802 of the family's 2925-position model. Lineage: Bacteria; Pseudomonadati; Pseudomonadota; Gammaproteobacteria; Enterobacterales; Enterobacteriaceae. The record is from RNAcentral.